UUUUACUUGACCUUUCUUCUGCUAAUUAGUUGCCUUCUUGAAAUGCAUUAUGGGUAAUCUAUCUUGGGCGAUCCAGCUUCCCACUUCCCGCUCCGGUAAUCACUCUAAAUGUAUGAAUGAUUUAUUCAGUGGAGCCAUUUCUCACAAUCUUAAAAUACACAAACCAUAAAAUACAGCCCAAUUAUUACGUGGCUGCAGCAGGCCCUGGGCAGGUCCACGAGCGUGUGCGAUGGAUUCGCAGUGACAUUCGCAGAACGCGAAGAGCUACAUUUGACGAGCAAAACAAGGCGAAAGCAGGGAGGAACUCGCAGCUGUCUCGCGACGUGGAUCACGCGGAUGAGUGCAGUAAUGGAUGGUGUUGAGGUUCGCGUGUGAGCUCCCAUGCUGUGUUAAAUGCUGUCUGUACGCUGGUGUGAAUACGCUGCACAUGAGGUUUUCUGACUCCUUGCAUGCAUAAUUGCUGUGUGCCGGGCUUUUCAGGUGGUGAAGAAAGAACUGCAACCAAGCAAGCGCUGACUACAUGCGCAUUAACAGGGCACUUUAGCAAACUACUGAACAUUUCCUGCGCUCAGAAACACAUUACACACAGGGUGCGGUGUAGCCAGCAUUUAAACUUUAGACAUUUGUCUGACGUAUAUGUUAACAAGACAACCAUUAGUAAGUGCUAUUUGUCAUACAGAUUGUGUGUGAGGGGAGUGGUAUAUCUGUGAAGGAUGUGUGUGUGUGUGCGUGUGUGUGCGUGUGUGUGUGUGUGUGUGUGUGUGUGUGUGUGUGUGUGUGUGUGUGUGUGUUUGUGUGUCUCUGUGUGUGUGUGUGUGUGUGUGUGUGUGUGUGUGUGGGUGUGUGUGGGUGUGUGUGUGUGUGUGUGUGUGUGUGUGUGUGUGUGUGUGUGUGGGUGUGUGUGUGUGUGUGCGCGUGUAUGUAUGUAUGUAUGUAUGUGUUUGAACCACAGUAUUAAUGCAGUGGUAUACUGUAAUAUUUUCUUUAUUUGGCAUUCCUACUUUCAUUUCCUUUAUGAGUCUAUCGUUUGUGCUAAAAAAUGAAUUAGCUAUUUUUUGGAUGUUUGUAUGUCAGCUUUAAUGGAGUUGCACAGCUUAUGUGGUUUCUCUCUCUCUCUCUCUCUCUCUCUCUCUCUCUCUCUCUCUCUCUCUCUCUCUCUUUCUCUCUCUCUGUAUCUUUAUUUCUGAGUUAGCUGCAGCAGAAGCUGUUUUGCCCUCCUGCUGUGCAGCCAGUGUCUUUUCACAACAAAGAGCCAUAUCACAUGGAGCAGUAUGUGUAGUACAACAGUGUUAUGCCCAGCUACAGUGACUACAGAUCUGACAAGAACACUAAGAUUAAUUUUCACAAGCUUUUGUGUCAGUUUAGAAUAAGUGUAACCUCUAAAAUGAAUUCUCCAGUGUGUUUUCAAGAUUCUUUUGCAGAACUUUAUUAUGAUAUACACAAGCUCCUUGGUACACUGAAAGUGUUAGUUUGCUUGUUCUCACAGAUGCGAAAUAAACAGGAUACAAUAAUAACAAAUCAACAAAUAUGAAGACCAAGGUUUAAAAAUUGUACAACACUGUAUAUUGUCCAGGAUUAGAGCUAAAGUUAUUUUUUAAAUGUCAAAAAAUGGGAAAUAUAAAAACUAUUAGACAUCAAUAAGAGUGGUGGUAAAAGAAAAGGAAAGAUAUACAGUAAAUAUACUUUGGUCAUAUUUACAUGAGAAGAUGCUGUUGGAUCAGUACAUUACUUCUGCAAGAUUAUUUGCCCAAGAUAACCUUUCAACAUCUCUAUCCACUGCAUCUGUGACAUUACCAUGAACAAGAGAUGUGAGACAUUCCUUGCCUGUAAUGAGAAAUGAAAGAAACGUGUUUACUCAAACUCCCCUACAGUAACAGUCUAAAGCCAUUCAAAUAAAUGUUUAUGUAAAACACAAUUUUUUUUUUUGUAAAAUGUUUGUAUAAAGAACUUUUUAUGAAGUAAUUAAGAUGUAAAUGACACUCCUUUUUUUCCAGAAGAAUUAAUGUGUGGCUAAUUGUUACUGAUGUAAACAGAUUCUCUGUAAUGGGGUCUGGAUACUGUGAAAUCUCAGCUCCAGUGUUGUGUGUAUAUGUAAGGUUGUCUGGGAAACGCCAAUGGAUGUCGCAGUGGCUGAAUUCUAGUAAACAGCCACAAAUAAGUUUUUAUUUUCAAUCACAAAUUUGAUUCUGGCUAAAAUAUACUUUAACAUCUUAACUUUAAGAAACAAAAAUUUUGUGUUGCAUUAGUGUUGCAAAAUGACAUGGAAAUAUUGUAUUGACUUUUUCUUGCCUAAGCUCAUGGCAAACUUUCCUGUCAGGCCAGUUUAAAACGCUGGUAUAAAAAAUGAUCUUCCUCAAAAUGUCUAAAACAUUGCUAGCUAAGUGUGAUUUCCUCACACAGUGAAUGUUGGAUAGCAAAAAAACACAAAAAAACACACAAAAAAAACCAGUCAGUUUGUAAUUAGAUACAACAUGGAUUGUCUGAAGUGUGCAAUUCUAUUCACACCCCAGUUAUUUGUCAGUGAUUGCAAUUUUUAAGUUAUGAAUGAACAAAACAUUAUUCUUUUUACAUAUGUAUAGUAACAGUUAAUGUUAUGAAACUUCAACAAGGCAAGUUAGUCCCUGUUGUCACUUAUGUUUUACCAGUUAUAAACAGUCACUGCCUCACUCACUCUCUUGAAGUAAGAGCAAAAGUCAAAUGAAAUGCAGCUUGUAAUGUGACUGAUACACUGUGGAAAUAAAGUCUGGAAAACUCUUUUGUCUCCUGAAGAGCCCCCUAAAACUCUCUGUGCUGACCCCUGAGAUGCCUCCAAUAUAUAUUAAAUAAAUGUGUACUAACAGAAAGAAAGGUUCACCACAUCACCACAGUGGGAAGUACUUCAGCACUGGGAAGGCUUCACCACAGUGGGAAGUACUCUCCGAGCCAUGCAGUUAGAGAAAAUGAACCCACACUUUCUGACCAAUCAGAUUAGAAAAUUCAACCUCACUACGGUAUAAAAUGCUUUAACUUAUAAUGCUUGUGGUUGGGAAAUCUGCACAAAAGAACAUUUUAGUUCAGAAGUAUGUAAUUUUUAGAACUAUAUGUAAUAGAUCAUGUCAACAUUCCACAGAUGGCAAAGUUCACUGCCAUACAUUUUCCAUGCUUAUUGACCGAAUCCAGCAACUGCUCUUAGAUUAUUAUUAUUUUUAAAUCUAUAAGUGAUUUUUGAGUAAAAUGUUUUGUUCUCAGUACAGAAAAACAUGUACAUUUUGUCUCACACAUAAGCUAGAGAUACAGUGGAUAGAGGUUAAGAUGAAAGGUGCUGCAGUAUCCCUUUAAAUUAUUGAAAUAGUAGAUAUUAGGAUAAUAUAUAUAUAUAUAU
This is a long non-coding RNA of Ictalurus punctatus (channel catfish), 3361 nucleotides long. Lineage: Eukaryota; Metazoa; Chordata; Actinopteri; Siluriformes; Ictaluridae. The record is from Ensembl.